Molecule: ribosomal RNA, 2235 nt
Filed under: wastewater metagenome
Description: bacterial LSU rRNA
Rfam family: Bacterial large subunit ribosomal RNA
Source: RNAcentral
UGUCCUGGACCCGAAGCGGGAUGAUCUAGCCCUGGGCAGGUUGAAGCGCGGGUAAGACCGCGUGGAGGACCGAACCCACCUGGGUUGAAAACCGGGGGGAUGACCUGGGGCUAGGGGUGAAAGGCCAAUCAAAUUCCGUGAUAGCUGGUUCUCUCCGAAAUGCAUUUAGGUGCAGCGUCGGUCGAUUGCGUCGCGGGGGUAGAGCUACCGGAUGCUUGCGGGCCCUUGUUGGGUACCAACAGCAGCCGAACUCCGAAUACCGUUGACGUGUAUUCCGGCAGUGAGUCGGCGGGGGAUAAGCUCCGUCGUCGAGAGGGAGACAGCCCAGACCGUCGUCUAAGGUCCCGAAGCGUGUGCUAAGUGGGAAAGGAUGUGGAGUCGCAUAGACAGCCAGGAGGUUGGCUCAGAAGCAGCCAUCCUUGAAAGAGUGCGUAACAGCUCACUGGUCUAGUGGUUCCGCGCCGACAAUGUAGCGGGGCUCAAGCACACCACCGAAGACGCGGCAGCGGCCUUUGCGGCCGUUGGGUAGGAGAGCGUCCCGCGUGGGGCGAAGCGGCCGGGGAACCGUGCCGUGGACCGCGCGGGAGUGAGAAUGCAGACAUGAGUAGCGAGAGACGGGUGAGGAUCCCGUCCGCUGGAUGACCAAGGGUUCCGGGGCCACGUUCGUCGUCCCCGGGUGAGUCGGGUCCUAAGGCGAGGCCGACAGGCGUAGUCGAAUGGAUGAACGGGUGGAUAUUCCCGUACCGGCGGCGUACCGUAAGAGCCGAACGGAUGAGUACUAACCUCCGGUCGCGUGGCGUCGUUCCCUUCGGGGUUCGGGGCGCGUGGCUGUUGGGAGCGUAGUCCUGGUAGGCUAGCGCACAGGGGUGACACGGAAUGGGAGCCGGCCGCGGAGGUGGUUUUCCGUGGUCAAGCACGCAGCCAGUCAUGUAGGCAAAUCCGCAUGGCGCGCAUGGCGAGGUGUGAUGAUGGGAGCCUUUUGGCUCGAUAUCCGGUUGUCCAGGCCGUCGAGAAAAGCCUCGGCGUGAGGGCCAUGGCCGCCCGUACCCCAAACCGACACUGGUGGUCAGGUAGAGAAUACCAAGGCGAUCGAGCGAAUCCUGGUCAAGGAACUCGGCAAAUCACUCCCGUGCCUUCGGUAUAAGGGAGACCCCCGGGCGUGAAGAGGCUUGCCCUCGGAGCGUUGGGGGGUGGCACAGACCAGGGGGUAGCGACUGUUUACCAAAAACACAGGUGCAUGCGAAGGCGCAAGCCGCUGUAUAUGCACUGACGCCUGCCCGGUGCCGGAAGGUUAAGAGGAUCCGUCAAUCCCUUCGGGGACGAAGCGGUGAAUUCAAGCCCCGGUAAACGGCGGUGGUAACUAUAACCAUCCUAAGGUAGCGAAAUUCCUUGUCGGGUAAGUUCCGACCUGCACGAAUGGCGUAACGACUUCCCCACUGUCUCGACCAGGAGCUCGGCGAAAUUGCAGUACGAGUAAAGAUGCUCGUUAAGCGCAGAAGGACGAAAAGACCCCGGGACCUUUACUAUACCUUGGUAUUGGCGUUAGGCGCGGAUUGUGUAGCAUAGGCGGGAGGCUUCGAAGCAUGGGCGCCAGCCCGUGUGGAGCCGCAAGGUGAAAUACCGCUCUGUUCUCGUUUGACGUCUAACCUCGAACAGUCAUCCUGUUCAGGGACAGUGCCUGGCGGGUAGUUUAACUGGGGCGGUUGCCUCCCAAAGAGUAACGGAGGCGCUCAAAGGUCCGCUCAGCCCGGUUGGCAAUCGGGUUUCGAGUGUAAUCGCACAAGCGGGCUUGACUGCGAGAACGACGGUUCGGGCAGGGACGAAAGUCGGAGAUAGUGAUCCGGUGCCGGCGCACGGGCGCGGCAUCGCUCAACGGAUAAAAGGUACCCCGGGGAUAACAGGCUGAUCAUUCCCAAGAGUCCAUAUCGACGGGAUGGUUUGGCACCUCGAUGUCGGCUCGUCGCAUCCUGGGGCUGGAGCAGGUCCCAAGGGUUCGGCUGUUCGCCGAUUAAAGCGGCACGCGAGCUGGGUUCAGAACGUCGUGAGACAGUUUGGUCUCUAUCCUCUGCGCUCGUUGGAAUCCUGAGGAGGCCUGCCCAUAGUACGAGAGGACCUGGGUGGACGAACCUCUGGUAUGCCGGUUGUCGCGCCAGCGGCACGGCCGGUUGGCUACGUUCGGGAGGGAUAACCGCUGAAAGCAUCUAAGCGGGAAGCCUGCUCCAAGAUUAGGAUUCC